This 253-nucleotide ribosomal RNA is filed under the name uncultured bacterium. Its description in RNAcentral is "partial 16S ribosomal RNA". It matches the Rfam family "Bacterial small subunit ribosomal RNA", at positions 524 to 776 of the family's 1533-position model. The record is from RNAcentral.
UACAGAGGGUGCAAGCGUUGUUCGGAAUUACUGGGCGUAAAGAGCUCGUAGGUGGUUUGUCGCGUUGUCCGUGAAAACUCACAACUCAAUUGUGGGCGUGCGGGCGAUACGGGCAGACUGGAGUACUGCAGGGGAGACUGGAAUCCCUGGUGUAGCGGUGGAAUGCGCAGAUAUCAGGAGGAACACCGGUGGCGAAGGCGGGUCUCUGGGCAGUAACUGACGCUGAGGAGCGAAAGCGUGGGGAGCGAACAGG